Molecule: long non-coding RNA, 395 nt
Filed under: Pan troglodytes (chimpanzee)
Lineage: Eukaryota; Metazoa; Chordata; Mammalia; Primates; Hominidae
Description: lincRNA
Source: RNAcentral
CUCACUCUCCUGCCCCACCUCGACAUCCACAGCGAGGCAAUGAAGAAGCCCCCGCCAAGGAAGAGCCCACUUCUCAGUGGGACACCGGGAAGGUUACAUUAGUUAUAAUAUACACUCUGGAGGUGACUUGACUUGUCAUUGUGAACAACUAUUGCUCUUGGACGACCCAGGACAUAGGCCAGCCAGUACGUACCCCAGUGUGUUGGAGAAUCGCACUCGGCUUCUUCCUCUGUGCUGAGUCAUGAAAGUUGCCGGAGCAGGUGCAGUUACACAACCUCCAGGCAACAUCACAUGAUCGUUCAAAAAAUAAUCAUCAAGUCCAGGAUGCAGCAUCUGUCUCAGUUUUUGGCGUAGGAUGACAGUCUGAAAUACACUUACUGAAUUUGAAUAAGAAC